RNAcentral lists this long non-coding RNA (213 nucleotides) under Elaeis guineensis (African oil palm). Its description in RNAcentral is "long non-coding RNA (EGUI_LNC033137)". The record is from RNAcentral. Lineage: Eukaryota; Viridiplantae; Streptophyta; Magnoliopsida; Arecales; Arecaceae.
AGAUAUAAUAAUGGCAGACUUUGAGUUCCAUAUUAAUCUGAUGGAGUAGAUUGAUCCCGCUAUCUAUCAAUGGUUGAUGGUUGUUUCUACAAGAUUCUGAUCCAAACAUGCAUUUAGGAUAUAGCCAAGAUGUGAUAUGCUCCUAAAUACUUUGUUUGAGACUUUUAAUGCUUAUAUAUUGCAUGCAAAGGAUAAGCCUAUAGUACAAAUACU